UCCACCGCACCUCCAUCGCACCUCCACCGCUCAUCCAUGGAACCUGUCUUUGCCAUCACCGUCUUCUCCCCUUUCAUCCAUGGAACAGGUCAUGUUUUUAACCCUAUUUUGUACGUUUUUUUUUAAUCUUUGUCAGAUCUGUGAUAAUACUUUUAGAUCUGUUUUAAUACUUUUAGAUCUGUGAUAAUACUUUUAGAUCUGUGAAUCUGUGAUAAUACUUUUAGAUCUGUGAUAAUACUUUUAGAUCUGUGUUGGUUUUGUGAUUAUUUUAAUGUUCUGUGAAUGGAUCAACAUUAGGGCUUUUUGUUUGAUAAUUAGGGCUUUGUCAGAUCUGUGAAUGGACCAAUUUUAAUUUCUUGCAUUAGGGCUUUGUCAGAUUUGUGAUAAUACUUUUAGAUCUGUUUUAAUACUUUUAGAUCUGUGAUAAUACUUUUAGAUCUGUGAAUCUGUGAUAAUUCUUUUAGAUCUGUGAUAAUACUUUUAGAUCUGUGUUGGUUUUGUGAUUAUUUUAAUGUUCUGUGAGAUUUAUAGAGAAAACGUAAUUUCUGUUUCAUAAUUAGGGCUUUUUGUUUGAUCUAAUCGGUUACUGAAUUAUGGUUUUGUUUGUAAGGAGAAUCCGAUUGCAAGCUCACCGGCGAAGGAAGCAUACAGGAAUCGGCUGGCGGACAGCCUCAACAUGGACAGAACUAACAUUCUAGCUUUCAGGAAUAAGCCUCCGACACCAACAGAUGCGGUUCCAAACGAGUGGUUUUGCUUCACUACAAAGCAACAAUUUUCAAAUUCAAAAUUUGUGUGGCCACGUGACCUUUGUUAUGUGCGGUAUUGGCGCCGAAAUGAUGAUGGGAGUUAUGGAUUGGUUUGAUCCAAUUGCUGAUUCGACUACUAGCCAUCUCGAUCUGAUUCCCCACAUGGUUUAGGGGAGAAGUUUAAAACAACAGGACUAUGGAAGGAUAUACGGUGCUACAUUGACAGUCAACUCUACGGUUUGUAGGUUGAAGUUUGCUUAACACGCUUCAACCGUCGAACUUGGUGCGGCUCAAUUGAAUAAGGAAAGCAGGGAGGUCAUGGACCUUAAAGACUUGUGCAGACUAAAACUGUGAUUGAGAUAUCUGCAGCAGUAGCUAGCAGCAGCUGAAGGGAAUGUUGAUCGAAAGAUGUGAACAGAGGCAAGGUGGCAAGGUUUUAGUAAUAGUUGUUAUAUGCAAAGUUGGGUAAUCGGAGAUGAUACCAUAAAUGAAACUGCAUCUCCAUAAGCUAAUGAGUGAGCAGCAACGCACGACAGAUGGGGAUUUUGGCGAGGAGACUAGGGUUCCGGUGAAACCUUUUCACUACAUGUUGUCAUCUCUGUCGACAAUGAACAAAUUGAAGACGUGCAGUGGUGAAAGUUCUUAGACCGGAAGGUUUGUAUAUGAUUUACAGAUCUAUGUGGAAUGCAGAAAAUGGGAGUUGUCACCAGGAGAGGAUAAAAAAGUUCUAUGGCUGAUGCAUUUGUGAGUUUUAAGGUCCAAUUUAAACACAAAAAAAUGAACCAUUGUGGAUUCCAUUAGAAGAACACCUUUUGCAUCAUCCUGUGAAGAGAUGAGGAGCUCUGCUUCAGUGAAGGAAAGGGCAAUCUACUUGUGAAGGUACCUGUGAAGGAAAGUAUGUAUGCCUUCCAAACCAAGAUGCAGGCUUGAUGGGGAUGAAUUUCAUGAUUGGAAGAAAAUAAACCUUUCCUAUUUAAUACCUUGGUCUCACAAGUUCUAAAUAAAUCAUAAUUUUUUUGGUAUUCUCGUACGUGUGAUGCCUUUUUGCUAAAUGAAGACAGCUAGAGCAUGGCGUGGAAGCUUAAAAGAUAUAUAAUGAUGUCUGGUGUUCGACAACGACGAAAUUUUAAAGGGCCAAACUGGGUUAUUAUAUUAGUGUGCUUAGUCAGCAUAUUUUUAGUUGGAUUAUAUAUCUACCAGCCCAGGAAUACUGCUGCCUGCUAUAUCUUUCUGUCCCGUGGCUGUUCCGAUCUUGAAAACACUCCAGCAGUUCCUUCCAGAGAAUUAACAGAUGAAGAAAACACAGCUCGGGUGGUCAUCACGGAAAUUUUGAAAUCAUCUCCUGCUGCUCCAAAGAACGCGAAAGUCGCUUUCAUGUUUUUGACUCCUGGCCCAUUACCGUUUAAAAUGCUAUGGGACAAGUUCUUUCAAGUAAAAGAACCUGUUUUGAUCCAAACAGACCUAACCCGUCAUAAGACCCACACGUAUUUCAUUUUUCACACAAAGGUAUUUCGGGUGCUUUUAUUCGCCUGAGUAAACUGGUGACAAUGAACGGGCGUCAGGUGCUUCUAUUCGCCUCAUAACUGAUUAACUGACCAUGUGAGAUAAAAGAAGACGCCUUUGUUUGGAUUAAGUAUAGAUCGAGUAAAGCUUCCCUUGAGUGGGAUAGCUGGGUUUCGUUUAAUGUUGGGGCUCUGUUGUAAUUUGCUUUUCCUCCUUGUAUUCCAGCCAGUGGCUGGUUGCUUUAUAUUUAUAUAUAAAGUUUGUUGCAGUUCAAAAAAAUAUAUAUAUAACAUUCUUCUGUUGUUUUGAGACCGAAACACAAUUAAUAAGAUUUUUUUUAAAUGACAGAUGCAGACAUGGGAUACUAUUGCUGGAGGCGAUUCAGAGAACCAGGUAACAAAAUUUCUGCAUAAGCGAGCACAACCCCAGCGAGCCCAACGCAACGGCGCAGUGAGCGCAGCCGCAUCGACGUCUAAUAUCAAUUUCUAUUGGUUCAAUUUAGUAUCUCAAUGAGACUACCAGAAUGCCCAGGUCAAUGAAAGAUCUUUUAAUGCCAUCAAGUGAUAUAAGAGAGUUUUGUAUAUGUAAUGCCCAAACGAGUUGAAUUGGUCAUUGUUGCGAGAGAAGCUACCUUGGGCUUGUUCAAAGAUUGUAAAGGAAUAACGGAACAGGGUUCUGCUGAGCGUGACAAGCAUCAAAUGAUGCAGCUGGGCUUCAAUCAGCUACAGCAUGGGCUCAAAUGUUGUCUCAAUAGGCGAUUUUCAGCUUCAACAUCAACUAUAGCUUAUGCAACCUACAAAUCCCAGUUUGACAACUUAGCAUAAUCUCCAAGAUUGCAGUCUACAUGGGCCGGUAGCAUAUCACAAACAUCAGGCCCUUUGGUGAUCUAACUGCAAAACAAUGGAUUCGCUUCCUAUUGCUUCGGUUGCUCGAGUCAUGCUUCCAAGUGGAGGUCCUGUGAAAUGUAAUUGGACAGGGCACAUAUGCAUAUGAUACUGAACUAAUGUUAUUUCUCCCUUUCUUUUAUUGUGGUAAAGUUUUUAUGACAUUUUAUUUUCUAUAUGUACAUACUAUGCAACGGUUUUUGGGACUUGUAUUUAUCAUCGUCUUUUUUC
This is a long non-coding RNA of Helianthus annuus (common sunflower), 3364 nucleotides long. RefSeq lists it as uncharacterized. Lineage: Eukaryota; Viridiplantae; Streptophyta; Magnoliopsida; Asterales; Asteraceae. The record is from RefSeq and is a predicted model, not a curated record. The transcript has 15 exons.